Long non-coding RNA from Equus caballus (horse), 2164 nucleotides. Lineage: Eukaryota; Metazoa; Chordata; Mammalia; Perissodactyla; Equidae. The record is from Ensembl.
UAAAGGAGGCAGCUGCAGGAACAUGAGGGAGAAAAGAAUUCCAGGCUGAAGGCACUGAGGAUGUAAAAGCCCUGAGGUGGAAACAAGCUUGAUGUGUUUUAGAAACAGGUGCCUAAUGAAGCUACAGCAGAGUGAGCGGAGUAGAGUUGACAGGCAGGAAGCUCUCGACGGGAGCGCCCUCCUGGUUCUGCGCUGCGCGCCCGCAGCCCGCACAGCCUCCAGGGGGCGCCCGGGGCCCGCGCUGCCCGAACCAGGCGUCCUGCGGGCCUCGGGGCAGAGGACUGCCGCCAAAGCCGCGACCUGGGUCCACCUGGGUUUCUCCCCCUCGUCUUGGAUCCGCUUCCCCCUCACCCACCGAAGGAUGGUGAGCUGGAGAGGGGCCCGGCUAGGGCGGGUGGACGCGUCGUCUGGGGAGCGCAGCCUCUUGGACCGGUCACCGCUUCAUCCCGCCUUUGAGACCCUGGUUUCCAAAGUGACAUUGGAUAGUUUCACUGCCCGCCGCGCCCCUGCGGAAGCCAGCGGGGCUGCUCGACUGAGGGUCUCGGACGACGCCCCCUGCUGGCUGUCCGCAUCAUGGGGAAAACGAAGUCCAGGUGGUUUUACGCUUAAGAACUUUGCAGAUUAACACGUCUUCACGGCAUCUCGCUGUGACCCUCGGAACUGGGGACGGCAGCCAGGAUCGGGUAGGAGGAGCAAGACGGAAUCCAGGGCCGGGAUUCCCGCUGGGGCUGGCUAGUAGUGCUACCGCCCAAGGGGGGCGGGGGGAGUGGUCUGCUCACGGCAAGACAUGCCAAUACUCAGGAGGCAAGGCGGUAGGAGAGAAAAGACUUUAUUGCAGCUUGCUAGCAAACGGGAAGAUGGCCGACUCCUGUCCGAAAGAACCAUCUUGCAGAAGGAAGACUACAGGCCAGUCAUAUACAAAGCUGGUCUCUAGGUGGGGCAGACAUCUCGUCCCAGUUCUUGAUAGUCCUUUGUGGUACUGGAUAUGCAUCAGAGAAUGGAGCAACGCCCUAUACCCUGACUUUCAGUUGUCAUUGAUGAUGGCUAUCAGCAUAUGCUCUCUGCCCAGGGGUUAUCACAUUCCUAAGGAACUCAAAAGAACAAAGUUAUCCUCUUAAAGCAGUUGGGAGGGGCCACAAAAUCUACAGAGCAUGUCUGGGCUAGUUAACCAGAGGUUAUUUAAAGUUGCAAUAUGAUUUCUUUUCUACAGUAUGGCUUGUCUUAUGUCAACCUUGUGUUGAGCGGGUAUCAGUAGGUUCACCAGGCAGCAACUCCCCGCCCAGGCAGGGGCACUAGAUGGCAGCUUCUGGGGGUGAGGGAUGGAGAUGAUGGGGUUCAGGGGCCCAAGAGAGAGGCAGAGGGAUGGCCACAGGGUUCCAGCCAGAAAUGAGGGGACACAAAAUCCUCGGGGCUGCAGAUCAUAGGCCUCUGCCCACACAGAGGGUGAGGGAGACACAGGGUGCUCCAUGUGUCAGGGCUGUCACCCUAAUGGCCAAGACUAUACAAAGUCAGGUCUGGCCAUGGCAGCCUGGAUGUGGCAGGAAGUGGAGGGGCAUCAAGGAAGCCUGUGACCUGGAUGGUGGCACGGGUCAUUCACACCCCGUUAAAGUUACCCGAGAUGAAGGCAGCUCUUUGAGGUGGGAAAGGGCAAGGGCCCAGAGCAAAGGCUGGGAAGGGGGCAACAGCAUGCAGGCGUCUCAAAGGCUGGGGGGUUUGUUCAAGGGCACAGGAGCCAUGGUCUCCAGGGGCAUGGGGGUGGUUUAGAGAAUGAGCAGCAACCUCCAGGAGCUGUGGAGAAGCUGUGGCAAGAGGGGGACAGGUUGAAGGCAGGAGAUGGAGGGAGAGGCUGAGUUUGUGUCUAUGGGAGAUGCCCCUGUUUUCCAGGGCAGGAGGAUUGCAGAUGGGGAGCAGGUGAGGAGAGAUGAGACUUCAGCAGAUGGAAGGACAGGAUAAGGUGACCGAGGCUGUGAGGGUGGGAGGUUAGACAGACCCCAAGGCAUCACGUGGGCCUCUGGACAGAACCAGGGCAGCAGAGGUCUCACAUGUGUCCCAGACCUCGGCUGCUGCUUCAAAGGACCCGUCUCCUAUUAAGAACCCCCUGCAUCAUGACAGAUGCUUAGAGGGAAUGAGUCAUGGGUUCUCAGUGCACGCUGAGGAGCCCCAC